GAGUAAUGUCUGGGAAACUGCCUGAUGGAGGGGGAUAACUACUGGAAACGGUAGCUAAUACCGCAUAAUGUCGCAAGACCAAAGAGGGGGACCUUCGGGCCUCUUGCCAUCGGAUGUGCCCAGAUGGGAUUAGCUUGUUGGCGGGGUAACGGCUCACCAAGGCGACGAUCCCUAGCUGGUCUGAGAGGAUGACCAGCCACACUGGAACUGAGACACGGUCCAGACUCCUACGG
Molecule: ribosomal RNA, 233 nt
Filed under: Escherichia coli
Lineage: Bacteria; Pseudomonadati; Pseudomonadota; Gammaproteobacteria; Enterobacterales; Enterobacteriaceae
Description: partial 16S ribosomal RNA
Rfam family: Bacterial small subunit ribosomal RNA
Source: RNAcentral